This 71-nucleotide transfer RNA is filed under the name Camelus bactrianus (Bactrian camel). It matches the Rfam family "tRNA". Rfam says of the family: Transfer RNA (tRNA) molecules are approximately 80 nucleotides in length. Lineage: Eukaryota; Metazoa; Chordata; Mammalia; Artiodactyla; Camelidae. RNAcentral also lists the same sequence under 3 other names. The record is from Rfam by way of RNAcentral.
GAGGGUAUAGCUCAGUGGUAGAGUGUGUGCUUAGCAUACAUGAGGUCCUGGAUUCAACCCCAGUACCACCA